Long non-coding RNA from Tetranychus urticae (two-spotted spider mite), 1518 nucleotides. RefSeq lists it as uncharacterized. NCBI's taxonomy places the organism in Eukaryota, Metazoa, Arthropoda, Arachnida, Trombidiformes, Tetranychidae. The record is from RefSeq and is a predicted model, not a curated record.
AAGAAUUGCUGUAAAAGCGCCUUAAAAACCCAAUAUUUUGCUCGAUUGAUUACAAUGGACUUUUUUUACCCCAAAAAUGAAUGAUUUAAAGAAAUGUGUAAAAAUGUGUAUUUCCAAGGAACAAGAUGAAGGGUGAGAAGGUAAAGUAAGGUACCAAAGAGAGACUUAGAAAGCAAAUGUAAAGAAAGUCUAAGAGGGCGAAAGGAAAUAAAGGAAACAGAGAGCAGAGGAGUCAAUAAAUGUGUUUAAAAGGACAAGGAAAAUUGAAAGGAAAAAAAAGAGACCAAAAUUGCCAACAUUUUCCUUCAAAAUGUAAAGAUUUCAAAUGUGUUACAUUUGGCUUCCAAAAGUGACCACAAUGGUUUCUUGGUCUAAUAUGGAUGUUACAUGACUCUCUACAAAUGGAUCAAAAGCGAUGAUGUCUUUAGGAAAAGGUCAAUAUGAUUCCCAAAUCUUACUCGAUUCAUCAUAACUGGAUUAAAUCUGUGGAUUUGGCAAAAAGUUGAAGAUCAAUUUCAAUGUGGAUCAAGUAAACAAUUGUCACAAUUGUCAACUAAGUUGCUUAUGAUGGACCUGAGACUUGGAAAAUGUCUAAUAAUUUGGGAUAAAAGGACUAUUCAUUGAUCUCUGAUUUGGGUUUUGUGGCUGUCAAGUAAUUCCUUUGUACCCAAAAAAUGGCAAACAAUUCCGAUCGCUUCAAAUCGCUAGCCAGCUCAUAUUUGAUCCUUUUUCACUGUUAUUUCUGGUUUUGAAGCAUUGUGACUGCAUAUUGUUCAAAGUAUAUGAUAUCCAGAUAUCUCUUGUAUUAGAGUCUAUCAAUUUACAUGGAAUAAUUCGGUUCUUUACCAAAUUUCUGGUUUUCCCCGUUUGCUCAGUCAUAUUUGGGUGCCUUUCAGCGUAAACAUUUUAAAUUCAAUUUGCUUGUGUCAGUUACACAAAACAGUGAAUUUUAUUGCCUUUUUAAAAGUUAAAUCUUGUGAUUAUAAAUUUGUAAAUGUAAAUAUAAAACGUUUGCUGUUGAAUCUACCAUUGAACAUAAACAAAAAGACCAAAAUCUUGGAUUACAAGCAAGUUUGCAAACAAUAUGCUGUAAAGGUGAACUUUUGUAGAGGUUCCUUGUAAAGGCCAACUUGUAAGGUUAAAGUAAAACAAGCUUCAAUGUUGAUACCAGAAAAUGUUUAACCAAAUAAACAAAAGAUCAAUGUAUCAACGUUAACCAAGGAAGAAUGAAAAUUGCUAAUCUUAAUUUGUCAAUAUCAGUUAACAAACAUGUCUGGCGUGUUUAUGAAUAAUCAUUCAGCUAAAAAGAAUCCUAUUUUCAACUCUAUUUUCAACUUGUUCAUCUAAUGUUGGCUAAAUGUAUCGAUUUACAUUUUAUUGUAAGAAAUAAUGAGCAAAAAAUGUUUUCUUUAAAAUAAUUUGGGAAAAAAAUGUUUUGCUUGAAUCUUGCGAUUCAACAAAUGAUUAUAUUUGUAUAAUAUCAGACGGAUUAUUUUGAUAACAAUGAAAUUUCCAAAU